RNAcentral lists this ribosomal RNA (251 nucleotides) under uncultured organism. RNAcentral's name for it is "partial 16S ribosomal RNA". It matches the Rfam family "Bacterial small subunit ribosomal RNA", at positions 302 to 536 of the family's 1533-position model. The record is from RNAcentral.
AUUCGCCCGCCGCGCCCCGCGCCCGUCCCGCCGCCCCCGCCCGCUCCUACGGGAGGCAGCAGUGAGGAAUAUUGGUCAAUGGGCGGGAGCCUGAACCAGCCAAGCCGCGUGAGGGAAUAAGGCCCUACGGGUCGUAAACCUCUUUUGUCGGGGAACAAAAGCGGGGACGCGUCCCCGUCUGCGUGUACCCGAAGAAAAAGCAUCGGCUAACUCCGUGCCAGCAGCCGCGGUAAUACAAUCCAUAUGACUAG